ACUCGUGAGUUGAUAAUCUUGACAUCUGUCACCCCACUGAUUGGCGAGUUGAUUCGGCUGAUGAGGCUGGCUAGGUUGGUGUCCUCUUUCUACCCUCAGUGCUGUAUGCACCUCCCUCCAGAAGCUGUUCCCUCGGUGGGAGAGGUGACCACCACCGAAAGUGGAGGAUCUUUCCUCGGUCAAGGGUGUAACAGUAGCUGGACUCUCCUGAUAGAACUUGCAAACAUGCUUUCAAGAAAUUAUCCUGAAAAGCUAUUAGCCCUGUGAUAGUCUGAUAUUCUGUUUUAAAAGAUACAAAAAACACUCUCUCUGAGAAAUGCUAUAUAGCAUUUGACCUUGCAGU
Unclassified non-coding RNA from Cavia aperea (Brazilian guinea pig), 343 nucleotides. Its record names the gene 7SK. It matches the Rfam family "7SK RNA". Rfam says of the family: 7SK was discovered as an abundant small nuclear RNA in the mid-70s but a possible function has only recently been suggested. Two independent studies have found that 7SK RNA binds the CDK9/cyclin T complex (known as elongation factor P-TEFb). P-TEFb activates transcription by phosphorylating the C-terminal domain of RNA polymerase II. Lineage: Eukaryota; Metazoa; Chordata; Mammalia; Rodentia; Caviidae. The record is from Ensembl.